AAGAGACAGCAGCAGCCGCGGUAAAACGGAGGGGGCUAGCGUUGUUCGGAAUUACUGGGCGUAAAGCGCACGUAGGCGGCUUGGUAAGUUAGAGGUGAAAGCCUGGAGCUCAACUCCAGAAUUGCCUUUAAGACUGCCGAGCUAGCAGGUGAGAGAGGUAAGUGGAAUUCCGAGUGUAGAGGUGAAAUUCGUAGAUAUUCGGAAGAACACCAGUGGCGAAGGCGGCUUACUGGCUCAUACUGGACGCUGGGGUGCGAAAGCGUGGGGAGCAAACAGGAUUAGAUACCCCCGUAGUCCCUGUCUCUUAUAC
This 310-nucleotide ribosomal RNA is filed under the name uncultured bacterium. Its description in RNAcentral is "partial 16S ribosomal RNA". It matches the Rfam family "Bacterial small subunit ribosomal RNA", at positions 503 to 807 of the family's 1533-position model. The record is from RNAcentral.